Molecule: ribosomal RNA, 468 nt
Filed under: uncultured bacterium
Lineage: Bacteria
Description: partial 16S ribosomal RNA
Rfam family: Bacterial small subunit ribosomal RNA
Source: RNAcentral
GACGAACGCUGGCGGCGUGCUUAACACAUGCAAGUCGAACGGAAAGGCCCUGCUUUUGUGGGGUGCUCGAGUGGCGAACGGGUGAGUAACACGUGAGUAACCUGCCCUUGACUUUGGGAUAACUUCAGGAAACUGGGGCUAAUACCGGAUAGGAGCUCCUGCUGCAUGGUGGGGGUUGGAAAGUUUCGGCGGUUGGGGAUGGACUCGCGGCUUAUCAGCUUGUUGGUGGGGUAGUGGCUUACCAAGGCUUUGACGGGUAGCCGGCCUGAGAGGGUGACCGGCCACAUUGGGACUGAGAUACGGCCCAGAAUCCUACGGGAGGCAGAAGUGGGGAAUAUUGCACAAUGGGCGGAAGCCUGAUGCAGCAACGCCGCGUGCGGGAUGACGGCCUUCGGGUUGUAAACCGCUUUCGCCUGUGACGAAGCGUGAGUGACGGUAAUGGGUAAAGAAGCCCCGGCUAACUACGUG